RNAcentral lists this long non-coding RNA (423 nucleotides) under Rattus norvegicus (Norway rat). Its description in RNAcentral is "long non-coding RNA NONRATT029527". The record is from RNAcentral. Lineage: Eukaryota; Metazoa; Chordata; Mammalia; Rodentia; Muridae.
UGCAGAAUGGCUUGAGUGAGGACGAGGCCCUGCAGCGUGCCCUGGAACUAUCCCUUGCGGAGGCUAAACCCCAGAUCCCAAGUUCUCAAGAGGAAGAAGACCUGGCGUUAGCACAGGCGCUGUCAGCCAGUGAGGCAGAGUACCAACAGCAGCAGGGUACACAGGGAAAGGAAGCACAGAGAAGCCUGGAUCACAGAGACAAGCAGGAGUAACGUGGAGGAUGUUCCAUGGAGCCUGGAGAGGAAGGAAGCUUGUGCAGAAGAGGGUGGCUGAGAAGCGCUCUCUGGUUGGGGCCUUGGUAGGUGCUAACCAGACUCAAUCCCCACAGCCUCUUACAUCGUAUUACCCCACUUUUCCCCGGGGCUGCCACAUGUAGCAGACAGGGAGAGGGCUGGGAAGAGUAAAGACUGGUGAUUAGUAAGA